AUACUUGGUGAGAGUAAUGUGAAUGUGAGUUUUAUGAGUGUUGGGAGAACGGUGAAGGGAAAGCAGGCAAUUAUGGCAAUUGGAGUAGACGAAGAACCAGACAAGGAUACUCAGAAGAAGAUUGGAGAGGUGUCUGCGGUUGAAGAAUUUGUCUUCCUUAAACUAUAGUCAAUAUUGCUGGCUGAUGGAAUGGAAUGGAAUGGAAUGAAGGAAGGAACUUGUUAUGUAUUACUAGUAUUAAGAAAUAGAUAAAAGAGUGUAAUGAAAGUUUAGCAUUUGCUAUGUAUCUGCGGGGAUUUAGGUGUUGGUCAAAUUUCUUUCUCCUGUAAUCCUAAUCCUCCUUAAAAUUUUCU
Molecule: long non-coding RNA, 353 nt
Filed under: Solanum tuberosum (potato)
Lineage: Eukaryota; Viridiplantae; Streptophyta; Magnoliopsida; Solanales; Solanaceae
Description: long non-coding RNA (STUB_LNC004261)
Source: RNAcentral